This 488-nucleotide ribosomal RNA is filed under the name uncultured bacterium. RNAcentral's name for it is "bacterial SSU rRNA". It matches the Rfam family "Bacterial small subunit ribosomal RNA", at positions 338 to 824 of the family's 1533-position model. The record is from RNAcentral.
CCUACGGGAGGCAGCAGUAAGGAAUAUUGGGCAAUGGAGGCAACUCUGACCCAGCCAUGCCGCGUGAAGGAUGAAGGCCCUAUGGGUUGUAAACUUCUUUUGUACGGGAAUAAACCUGGUUACGUGUAACCAGUUGAAUGUACCGUAAGAAUAAGCACCGGCUAACUCCGUGCCAGCAGCCGCGGUAAUACGGAGGGUGCAAGCGUUAUCCGGAUUUAUUGGGUUUAAAGGGAGCGUAGGCGGGAUUGUAAGUCAGUGGUGAAAGCCCGUAGCUCAACUACGGAACUGCCAUUGAUACUGCAGACCUAGAGUACACUUGAAGUGGGCGGAAUGUGUCAUGUAGCGGUGAAAUGCUUAGAUAUGACACAGAACACCAAUUGCGAAGGCAGCUCACUAAAUUGUAACUGACGCUGAGGCUCGAUAGCGUGGGGAUCAAACAGGAUUAGAUACCCUGGUAGUCCACGCCGUAAACGAUGAUACUCGAUGUG